This 1451-nucleotide ribosomal RNA is filed under the name Staphylococcus cohnii. RNAcentral's name for it is "bacterial SSU rRNA". It matches the Rfam family "Bacterial small subunit ribosomal RNA". The record is from RNAcentral. Lineage: Bacteria; Bacillati; Bacillota; Bacilli; Caryophanales; Staphylococcaceae.
CAGUCGAGCGAACAGAUAAGGAGCUUGCUCCUUUGACGUUAGCGGCGGACGGGUGAGUAACACGUGGGUAACCUACCUAUAAGACUGGAAUAACUCCGGGAAACCGGGGCUAAUGCCGGAUAACAUUUAGAACCGCAUGGUUCUAAAGUGAAAGAUGGUUUUGCUAUCACUUAUAGAUGGACCCGCGCCGUAUUAGCUAGUUGGUAAGGUAACGGCUUACCAAGGCAACGAUACGUAGCCGACCUGAGAGGGUGAUCGGCCACACUGGAACUGAGACACGGUUCCAGAAUUCUCUCACCGGGAGGGCAACACAGAUGUGGGAAUUCUUUCCGGCAAUAGGGCGAAAAGCCUGAACGGAGACAACCGCCCGGCGUGGAAGUAGAUGAAAGGUUUUUCUGGAUUCGUAAAACUUCUGUUAUUAGGGAAGAACACAAUGGUGUAAGUAGACUAUGCACGUCUUGACGGUACCUAAUCAGAAAGGCCACGGCUAACUACGUGCCAGCAGCCGCGGUGAUAACGUAGGUUGGCAAGCGUUAUCUCGGAAUUAUUGGGCGUAAAGCGCGCGUAGGCGGUUUCUUAAGUCUGAUGUGAAAGCCCACGGCUCAACCGUGGAGGGUCAUUGGAAACUGGGAAACUUGAGUGCAGAAGAGGAAAGUGGAAUUCCAUGUGUAGCGGUGAAAUGCGCAGAGAUAUGGAGGAACACCAGUGGCGAAGGCGACUUUCUGGUCUGUAACUGACGCUGAUGUGCGAAAGCGUGGGGAUCUAAACAGGAUUAGAUACCCUGGUAGUCCACGCCGUAAACGAUGAGUGCUAAGUGUUAGGGGGUUUCCGCCCCUUAGUGCUGCAGCUAACGCAUUAAGCACUCCGCCUGGGGAGUACGACCGCAAGGUUGAAACUCAAAGGAAUUGACGGGGACCCGCACAAGCGGUGGAGCAUGUGGUUUAAUUUGAAGCAACGCGAAGAACCUUACCAAAUCUUGACAUCCUUCUGACCACCUCUAGAGAUAGAGCCUUCCCCUUCGGGGGACAAAGUGACAGGUGGUGCAUGGGUUGUCGUCAGCUCGUGUCGUGAGAUGUUGGGGUAAGUCCCGCAACGAGCGCAACCCUUAAACUUAGUUGCCAGCAUUUAGUUGGGCACUCUAAGUUGACUGCCGGUGACAAACCGGAGGAAGGUGGGGAUGACGUCAAAUCAUCAUGCCCCUUAUGAUUUGGGCUACACACGUGCUACAAUGGACAAUACAAAGGGCAGAUAAACCGCGAGGUCAUGCAAAUCCCAUAAAGUUGUUCUCAGUUCGGAUUGUAGUCUGCAACUCGACUACAUGAAGCUGGAAUCGCUAGUAAUCGUAGAUCAGCACGCUACGGUGAAUACGUUCCCGGGUCUUGUACACACCGCCCGUCACACCACGAGAGUUUGUAACACCCGAAGCCGGUGGAGUAACCAUUUAUGGAGCU